GUGAGAUGUGAGGCACUUGCAGAGACUCAGUCCACCACCCUGGGCAGCUUUCACCACCCUGGGCAGCUUUUCCGAGACGUAGGGACUGGCUUGCCGUAAUUCAUAGCUUCUGCUGUCCCUUGCUACAUACCUCCUGUUUGGUCACAAACUAGGAUUGCAGCAUCUGCUUGUAGGCUCAAAAUAAAGGGAUGGAGAAAAAUCGACCAAGCAAAUGGAAAACAGAAAAGAGCAACUUGCUUCCUGAAAAUUCACGAACUCUCAGAUCCUAGAUGAAAAUGAGACCAGAAGAUGGAAGAAUCUGGAUCUCAAAAGACUCUCACUCUAUUACCCAGGCUGGAGUGCGGUGGCAUGAUCUCGGCUCACUGCAAACUCUGCCUCCCCAGUUCAAAUGAUUCUUCUGCCUUCUGCCUCAGCCUCCCAAAUAGCUGGAACUACAGGCCAACUUUUCUACCAGAUAACCCUGACCUCAUCCUGUCAGAAUUGAAUGGACCAAGAAUUGAGCUACCCUAAAAGGCCAGUUUUCUGGAAAUAGUUUGAAGAUACCGACUCAUGGUUAAAUGUUUCACAUUUACCCUCAGAAAUGAGUGCUACUGUUCAGAAACGGAGGUGCCCACUUUGCUUGUGGGAUUUAGGAGGAAAUGCCACACACUGUCAUAGAAAAAAUGGCGUCUCACUCUAUUGCCCAGGCUAGAGUACAAUAGUGCAAUCUUGGCUCACUGCAACCUCCCCCUCCCAGGUUCAAGCCAUUCUCCUGCCUCAGCCUCCCGAGUAGCUAGAACUACAAGCACGUGCACUGUACCCAGCUAAUUUUUUGUAUUUUUAGCAGAGACGGGGUUUCUCCAUGUUGGCCAGGCUGGUCUCGAACUCCUGACCUCAGGUAAUCCACCGCCUCAUCCUCCCAAAAUGCAUUAUCUCUUCCCAAAAUGCAUUAUCUAUUUCAUUAAGAAAAAGGAGAAAGCAACCAUGCUAAGCUUCAAAUAAAAGCAUGUGAGCACACCUGAUGACGCUAGACCCACUGGAAUCUCGCAUAACUCAUCCUGAACGUGUUGGGAAUCAAGUCUCUCAGGAUUAGCCCUGGUAAUCUGAAAGUCACCAGUCAUCAAGAAGUGGCAUCUCUACCAUGUGGUGCAAUCAUAGCCCUGAACUCAAAUUUCUGUCUGAUAUAUUUGAUGUGAUCCCUCCUUUUAUACCCUUUUAACUUCUGCUUGGAGAGACCCACUGACCUUGUAGCUGACUGUCAGAACUUUUCCUUGCCAGGCCAGCAAUAAAUUUGGCAUUGUUUUGGACAUUGAUUUGGUGGUCUUUGUUUCUUAGUGCUCAACAAUUUUAAUAGAGUCAGAAUCCAG
This 1346-nucleotide long non-coding RNA is filed under the name Homo sapiens (human). Its description in RNAcentral is "HSALNT0368653". The record is from RNAcentral. Lineage: Eukaryota; Metazoa; Chordata; Mammalia; Primates; Hominidae.